CGGGUUGUAAAGCCCUGUGGGGAGGGAAGAAUGAACCAGGGUGAACAAUCCUGGCGAUGACGGUACCUCCUUAGCAAGCACCGGCUAACUCUGUGC
This 96-nucleotide ribosomal RNA is filed under the name uncultured bacterium. RNAcentral's name for it is "partial 16S ribosomal RNA". The record is from RNAcentral.